AACCCUUUUACAAGCCUGCUUUUACAUGGGAUCACGGAAUACAACCGUCUUUUGAUUUCUCGUAGAGACUUUUAAGGUGCACUUUCGUCGUCUGAUUUGACAGAUUCAUUUUUUAGCAGUUGAUUUCCCUAGCUUAUUGUUCACAUUUCUGAAUCAAAAUCUGAUCAAAAUUCAUUAUGGAAUUUAAAAAGAGUAGGAAAAAAACGAUUGUGUGGAAGGAGGAGGAAUCGGCUCCCAAAAGAUCUAGGAAGAAAGCUCCGGAAAGUGUAAUGUCUGAAUCAACAAAAACUAGGGUGAUAAAGACAACUUAUAUUGAUGGAAAUAAGUCAAAACCCUCCUUAAAAAGCAACAAGUCAGGUAACUUGGCUGAAGCUGUUAAUAACCUAAGCGACCAAAGCAUCUCAAAUUAUCUUGAGCCCGUUGCUGGACUUUCAUUGUCUGCUGAAGACAAAAUGGUCGCGCACGACUAAACGAUGCGUAUUCAAUAGCUGUGGCGUCACUUUUUACCCUACGAAGAACGGUACUUAUCGUCUAUUCGAUAGUUGCAUGGUGGAAAAGUGAGUGAAAAAGCAACGACGAAAAUAGUGGAAAGAAAGUCGCAAAGUGCCAGUUCACUUCUAAAGUCUAGAGCCCAUCGAGAUAGAGGAAACGAGUUUAAAAAAUUUAAAAGGUUGAAGCAACCUUUUACUGGGACAGGGAUGGUUAAACUGGGCCGUUAAAAAUCUCAGACCAACCCAAAAGGUGUUAAGGCCCAGACAAAAACCAAAGCAUUGAGCACUGCUCUUCAAGAAGAUUGCAAUUUUGGGAAUGUAAGCAACAGUGAAAUAGUUGAAGAACUCUGUGCUAGCACCUUAGUUGAAGAAACCAGCGUUGAAGUCUUGACUGGUUCAAGAGACAUUCACCAGGAAAGAAGAAAUGUCCUAGAGAAUGAGGUGCUGACGAUGGAAUUCUUAAGCAAAGCAGCUGAAACAUCCUGCCUGUAUAGUUCACAACAUAGAAGAGCACGAAAAAGCUGGAAGCUCAGAAUGUUGGAACGAGCUGGGGAUUGGGAAAAUUCAAGGCAAAUUUUUUUUAAGCUUUUGUUGCAUCUAAAGCAUAUGUCACCAAUAUUUGCUCUAAAUGCUUCAUGAAGUUGACAUUCUACACCAAAUGCAAAAGUUGUUACAACAUAUACUGCAAUGUCUGUGAUCAAGAAGAACAUUUUGACUCUCCGUUCCAUCAACGUUCCCUCUUCUCUGAAAACACUUCACAAAUCCUGCUGCCUACUCAGUUUGUUAACUCUGAUGGAAGAGUUAUAACUUAUAAGUCAAGAUGUAUGUAUGCCUUGUGUGGCACCAACUACGUGCCCUUCAUGUUUAAAAACUGGGACUUGUCAUGUUCAGCCUGGCUUGAAAAAGAUAGCCGUAAUUACUACAGAAGGGCGUUUUGAUUUAAAUUGGGCUGAAUUUAAAUGUUCCGACUGUAAGGAGAUCAGAACAGUAACGAAUGCAGAUUUUGUUGCUUCCGGAUGGUGGCCUGGUUCCCCCACAACUAAAUCGUAUCUAUUUUCAAUGGAUAAUAUUUGAUGAUUUGCAAAUUUAACUACUCAAAUUAUUAAUAAACGAAUUAAAAAUCAAAUAAAAGCUGAAAUUAACAAGUGAUUUACCUGCGUCGGUCCAUGGACCCAUUGCCAUCCGGAACGGAAGACUGAAAUGUCGGGCACGACGCCCAACCAUCCACUCCUCACAGCGGAACAUGGUCUCUGCUUCCAUAUCGCCAAAUCACACUUUCAAAUUGCGUGUCAGAUUUUCGCCCAUGAAUUCCAGCAUGGUCACAUCGC
Molecule: long non-coding RNA, 1819 nt
Organism: Daphnia magna
Lineage: Eukaryota; Metazoa; Arthropoda; Branchiopoda; Diplostraca; Daphniidae
Exons: 5
Source: RefSeq, a predicted model, not a curated record